RNAcentral lists this ribosomal RNA (377 nucleotides) under uncultured bacterium. RNAcentral's name for it is "bacterial SSU rRNA". It matches the Rfam family "Bacterial small subunit ribosomal RNA", at positions 521 to 896 of the family's 1533-position model. The record is from RNAcentral.
UAAUACGUAGGGGGCGAGCGUUGUCCGGAUUCAUUGGGCGUAAAGCGCGCGCAGGCGGUUGCGAGAGCCCGGCGUGAAAGCCCCCAGCUCAACUGGGGGAGGCCGUCGGAGACCUCGUGACUUGAGGCCGGUAGGGGAGAGCGGAAUUCCCGGUGUAGUGGUGGAAUGCGUAGAUAUCGGGAGGAACACCAGUGGCGAAGGCGGCUCUCUGGACCGGUUCUGACGCUCAGGCGCGAAAGCGUGGGGAGCGAUCCGGAUUAGAUACCCGGGUAGUCCACGCUGUAAACGAUGGGUGCUAGGUGUCGGGGGUAUCGACCCCUCCGGUGCCGUCGCUAACGCAAUAAGCACCCCGCCUGGGGACUACGGCCGCAAGGCUA